GCGCGGAGCGUGCCGCGCCGCGCCUCUCGUAGUGGCGGCUCGGGGCUGAGGAGAUGGAGUCGGAGGCGCGGCGGCGGCGGCCGCAGCACCAGGAGCGAAGCGCGGCGGACGAAGGGCGGCCGCUGGCUCUGUCGGGGCAGUCCUACUGGCUGGACCUGUGGCUCUUCCUCCUCUUCGAUGUGGCGCUCUUUGUGUUCAUCUACCUGCUGCCCUGAUGCGCCGGGCCCAGAGCCACCUGGAUCAGGAAUCACUGGAUGCACCUUAUGAAAACAAGCAGGACCAUUUGGAGGAGCAGCGUUUUUGCACAGCAUAGACAAGAAGAGAACAAGACUUCCCAUUCAUGGAAAUGCAAGAGGCCCCCGGCUGUAUUAUGAGUAUUGUCUUUAGGAUUGUGCCUGUAUCUUGUCUUUCCAUGUUCUAAAUUGUGCCUUUCAGGAUAGGAGACAGCUUGACUGUGCUUUUGUAAUUUGCUUGAAGACUUGAGUGUAAAUGAAAAUAUGCAUUGUUUGAAUAAAAUCAACCAAAAGGACAAGUAAUAGAGUGAGAAUAAAAUCCAGCAGCUUCAGACUGAAA
Long non-coding RNA from Numida meleagris (helmeted guineafowl), 573 nucleotides. RefSeq lists it as uncharacterized. The record is from RefSeq and is a predicted model, not a curated record. NCBI's taxonomy places the organism in Eukaryota, Metazoa, Chordata, Aves, Galliformes, Numididae. The transcript has 2 exons.